RNAcentral lists this long non-coding RNA (1955 nucleotides) under Strigops habroptila (Kakapo). RNAcentral describes it as "lncRNA (ENSSHBG00005006985.1)". Lineage: Eukaryota; Metazoa; Chordata; Aves; Psittaciformes; Psittacidae. The record is from RNAcentral.
GGGAACUGCUGCUCUGGCCUUACUUUUUAAAUUGGAUGAAUUAAAAUAAAUGUCUAUGUAGGCAAAAAAAAUGUAUAAACAGAGCUUUAAAACCUUUACUUUUAAUAGAAUUUUGGAACUAACAGAAUCCUGAAAAUGUUGUAAAAUAUAAAGCAGAAGUUUCUCUCAUAAAGCAACUGUCAUGUUCCCUGCAGAAAAGCUCUGUGUGGCACAAGUAAAGCUUUUGGGAUGUCAGUGUUUGCUCAAUCCCAGUCACUGCAUUUUAGCAUCAUUUUCUGCUUACUAUUUUAUUCUCUAUCUGUUCAAUAAUUUAACAUUCCCUUUUGAAGCCUUGAUAAUCCUAAUCCUUUCAGUCAUCUGGGGGCAAUCUGUUGUGGAAAUGAACUGGGCAGAUACAGGAUGUCUCCUGUUGGCGAGGAACCCUUCCCGCUGCUGGCUGCUCUCCCUCUGAGCAGAGACACACUUGCUCAGUGCAAAUCCAAUGCUUAUAAUCAGUUUUCUGUGAUGUGCUCUUUGUAAGAGUUGUGUAAAUGGAUUUUCACUUCUUGACUGCCACACAGAGGACUGGCCUGCCUGCCAGGACUUGCUGUCAUGUCUGUAUUGUGUACUCUCUUGUUCCUGAAAAAUUGAAUCCCAAAUACAUUGGAGUGUACGUGUGAGGGCAGGGGCCUCUAUUCAAUCCUUCCAAGAUGCCUGUAUGGGAAAAGAAGUGUGGUGAUCUCGGGAAGCUUCACUAGGUGCUGGUUUUACUCAGUCAUGUUUGAUAAAGUUAGGGACUACAGCCUGUGUAACAGAAAGGAGUUGGCAGAUCUUAGUGUGUGGGCUGCAUGGUAUCCCGCAACAGGCUAGUCUUUGCUGGCCCGAGAACACAGUAAUGGUUUAUGUUACAAUAUGUGGUGUUAUACUGACAUCGUCUCUUGCAGGGAAAAGCAAUGAGAAAGGGGUAAGUUCCAAAAGAGAAGUCAAGUCCACUGGGAGCAAUAAGGCCAGGCACUUUGUUUCAGAUGAUGAUGCAAGUGAUCGUGCAGUCAACAGUGCAAAAACUGAACGUCAGCUUUCUGCUAAGCUGACUUCCUUAAAUACCGAAGCACUAAACAAACAUACUAGCAGAACCCCAGGAACAUCAAAGGAAAAGAGAGCAGCAGAACAUGGAGAACUGACUAUGUAUCAGCAGGCUUACAAGUACUCUUUAAGGUCAGCCCAACAACUUCGUCAGGACAAGCGCUUAACAGAAGAACCGUCAAGCAAAGAUGAGGAAGAGGAAUCCAGUGAAGAUAUCCCCCUGUCUAUCAAAAGGAAAACUAAACCUUUAUUGAAACCAGAGAUUCAUAACUCUAAACCUUCCUCUAACUGUAGAAAGUCACAGGAUGAUGCAGACAAGGCAUCCUGUGAGCAAAGGACAGUAAAACACAUGACUGCCACCUAUAAUGUGCUGUUGAGGCAAAGUGUACCCAAAUCUAAGGACGGUUCUGAUAUACUUGAAGGAGAAGCACCUUCUACUAGGUCUGGAACUUCCCACCUGCCUGAUAAGGCAGUGAGGACAAGAAACAGAAUCAACCUGCCAAGGCUGAUUGAAUCUGACACUGAGUCUGAAAGCAGUGAAGAGGAAUUUCAUGUAAAAGAAAAGGAUUUAAAACUAGCUGAUAGAAAAACAAACUACAAAGUUCCUAAUACUGCCAAGCCUUCAGCAGAAAAAUCAAGAGAAUCUGAAAGGGAAAAGGUGCAGAAACCUCUACAGCUUUUUCCAAGGGCAGCUGAUGCUUGGUCUGAAAAGGAAUUACAGAAGCUCUACAGGCAAGUAGUUGCACUGCCCUCACAGGGCAAAGGUUCUCUUGGGCAUCGGGAGGUAUGUGCCAAGGGGGUUGAGUGAUCUGCAUUUGGCUGAUUCAGUUUCUUGCACCUUAUUUUAAAGGUUUUCUUUACGUUUUAAUUUCCUCUUAAAAACUUUAAAAAAA